CGACGACGACGACGACGACGACGACGACGGCGACGACGACGACGACGACGACGAUGACGACAACGACAACAACGGAGAUGAUAAUACCAACGGAAGAAACGGACUAUAAAAGCUAUCGCGUUCGCCUUACCGCUGAGGAUAUUGCUGUUAGCAGGGUACAGCACAAGAUCAUGACUAAACGCAAGCGGGACGUUGGCCGUGGAAACAACAAAUUCGCAAGGUGGCGACGGUAACGACGAAUACGCAGGCAUACGCAGAAUUGCAGUCUUUUCACCGUAAUCUAGGUACGGCAAGCGUUGACUGUGUCGUUGCGUGUGCGCUUGUGAGCUUUAUGGGAGAGGUAUUUUGUAGGUGAGACGAAAGAGAGAAACGGGGCAGACGAGGGAAGUAAUAACGAUGUGAUGGUAAAAAUAUGUCCGUCGUGGUGGAACAUACUGAUGAUGAUGAUUAUGCUGAGAACAACAAUGAUAAUGAUAAUUACUAUUAUUAUUAGUACCAUUAUUAUAUAUCUUGAGAAUACCAUAAGUGCGCCCGCGCGAGUGCGUUAAAAAAGAACUAUAUAUAUUAUGCAGAGAAGCUCGGCGACUUGCCGAAGAAUGUCGGCAGAAGUCCAAUAGGCAGAGAAGUCAGUUGAGAAGAGCCAAAACAAUUAAGGAAAUAACUGAGAUCGAAAAUUAACAUCUACAAAGGGGGACAAGGAAGAAUCCAGUAACAAUGCUAAAAAGAAAUCGGCGUAGCCAGUCACAAAGUCACCCUUUUUGACUGAGUCGCUUGAUAUCAUCGUACUUGACUAUAUUAACAACGUACAACUACAAGAAGGAA
RNAcentral lists this long non-coding RNA (822 nucleotides) under Varroa destructor (honeybee mite). RNAcentral describes it as "uncharacterized LOC111250699, transcript variant X2". Lineage: Eukaryota; Metazoa; Arthropoda; Arachnida; Mesostigmata; Varroidae. The record is from RNAcentral.